Small nuclear RNA from Gracilinanus agilis (Agile Gracile Mouse Opossum), 166 nucleotides. RefSeq annotates it as U1 spliceosomal RNA. The record is from RefSeq and is a predicted model, not a curated record. NCBI's taxonomy places the organism in Eukaryota, Metazoa, Chordata, Mammalia, Didelphimorphia, Didelphidae. The transcript has a single exon.
AUACUUACCUGGCAGGGGUGAUGCCAUGAUCACGAAGCUGGUUUCCCCAGGGUGAGGAUUAUCCAUUGCACUCCAGAUGGGCUGACCUUUGUGGAUUUCCCCAAAUGUGGGGAAACUCAACUGCAUAAUUUGUGGUAGUGGGGGACUGCGUUCACACUCUUCCCUG